Rhododendron vialii is the source of this 203-nucleotide small nuclear RNA. RefSeq annotates it as U2 spliceosomal RNA. NCBI's taxonomy places the organism in Eukaryota, Viridiplantae, Streptophyta, Magnoliopsida, Ericales, Ericaceae. The transcript has a single exon. The record is from RefSeq and is a predicted model, not a curated record.
AUUCCUUUCUCGGCCAUACGGCUAAGAUCAAGUGUAGUAUUUGUUCUUAUCAAUUCAAUAGCUGGUAUGUGGAUCAAUGGUUUACCCUCUUAUUAAAUUAUUUUUUGUUGGGGGAGAGCCCAUCAUAACAGCAUGCUAAUGCUAUUGGGGAUUCUCAAGCGUUGCCUGGUGUUGCAUUACAGCCUUGGCUCGUCGCACCCCAA